GUCGUGGUGCAGAAACCGGGUCAAUCGUGUCCAAGACCGUUAAUUAAGAAUUUAAGAAAUUAUUUUUCCAGAGUCCAAUAUCAGAUGUCUUGAACAGAAAUAUAAAAUUGUAGGAGCAAUAACGAGAAUGAAUAUGUAAUUAAAUUUAAGCUCCAGAACAUACAUUUGAUCAGAAUCAGUAAUGCAGAUACAAUAAAAAGCUCCACUCGUAUUAAGAACUGUUUAAUUCGUGCAAUUAGAAAGAAAUUAUUGCUUUCCGCUUUCUACCGCGCUUUAGCCUCUUAAAAUCUCCGUUUCCUUUUUUUCUCCAUUCGGAUCGAUCGAUAUGGAAAAAGUGUUGGCGGUUUCGCGUCCAAAUGUGCAAUAAAUAGCAAAACGUCCGUGCAAUUGCUCGUAACUGGUUGGUUAUAGAGUUUGAAAAUAAACGAGGCCGAUUCGUCGUUCGUUUCUAAUAUUAACUUUCCCGAUAAAAUUCAUUUCCUCGGUUUCUGACGAUUUUAUCGAUCCCCUAAUGAAAUUUUCUUUAUCCGCAUGUUCGAGCCAAGGUCGAAAAGAAAAUCGUUCGAAAAGAAGCCGGAGAAAAGGAGACAAAUCUUUGAUCGAAACGAGAUAAAAUUUAUCUAGAAGGGAGUUACUCUCAGCUUUUACUUCCUCUCUCGAAGAACAGAAGAAUAGGGGUAAAAAACUUGUGUCGAUUCGACCGUAUCGAAUCGUCUACCGGCAAGCCACUCGGCAAAGAUCAGGAAAAAAGUUGGGGGAGAAAGAUCGCUGCCGAAAUGUUACUAAUCCUGUUAAUAAAAAAGAUGCGACACUUAUCACAGGAAAUUCGUGAAGUUUGCUGACACUUGGGAAAUCACCCCCAGAAACUUUUCUUCCCUCGACUUGACGAACUGCUGUUCCAUCGACAAAAACAGCAGAGGUUGAAAAAAUUCAUUAUGAAAUGCCUUCAAACAAGACUGGGAUCGAUCGCUUUCAGAUGCUAAUCGGAUAAAAUAUGAUCAACGACGACCGAUGAUCUCUGGACGCCCGUCGCGUUAUCAAAUCGCCCGGAUGGCUAAGGGAAUGGGAAAGGAAAAUGGGGAGAAUCAGCUUUAAUGUCAUGGAAAUUGGUGCAGGAUCGACCUGGAUGCAACUUUCUCACUGAACAUUUUCUCUGUUCUUCUUCGACCGUUCUAUGUUCCGGGAAAGAAAAGAAAUAUUCAAAAUGGAGGGACAAAGUUGUGCGAAAGUCCGUGGACAAUAGAAGAAGAUUCAGAGGAUGGACAAAGUUGGAAAAUCUUGAAAAAAUUAAUCUAUCUCAUAAAAUAUAAUUGUUAUCGUUAGUAGGUGUCUUAAUUGUAUCGGAUAAGGUAGCUCGCAACAUAUGUGUAUUUCUCCUUAUCGAUUAAGGAGAAGCGUAAACUGUCCUUAUUUCUCGUUAUUAAUACUCGAAAGCUAUACCUACGAAUAUCGGAUAGAGUCAGUUACCCAUUUUACUUAUUAUUACAAAAACUAAUUUAUUCUAAAACCCUGACAUAUUAUCGGACGAAAAUGUUAAUGAACAAACUCUCCCCAAGAUUUCUAUAUCCACUCCUAAUGAAGAAGAAACUGACCAGUGAAUUUUCUGCGAGGACAGGCAAAUUUUGUGAAUAUCGAUUAUCGUGUAAGACUAUUAUUCGUGAUACGUAAGGAAAGAAAAAUGUAUUCGAUCGAGAAGACGUUAAUCGUGUGGUCCACCAUGGUGUCUAUAUUGGUGGACGCUACAGACUACCAGGACGAUUACACAUCCGUAGAAUACAUCGACGAGUCUGAUAUGGAUUUCAACUCCACCAAUUGUAGCAACAUUUAUUGCAUUUCGAACGAGGAAUACGUGGAUCGUAUGAUGAAUUACAUAUUCCCAAAAUUGUGGGAUUGGGUGCUGAUAGCUUCUCACGGUAUCAUCUUUGUCGUUGGAUUAGUUGGAAACGUGCUAGUCUGUACCGCGGUCUACAGAAAUCACACAAUGAGGACUGUGACGAAUUACUUUAUCGUCAAUCUGGCUGUGGCUGAUUUUCUGGUACUGUUGCUCUGUCUUCCUUUCACGGUGCUCUGGGAUAUCACCGAAACAUGGUUCCUGGGACUGACUUUAUGCAAAGCCGUGCCAUAUCUCCAGACAGUAUCAGUGACCGUGAGCAUAUUGACUCUAACUUUCAUAUCGAUAGACCGAUGGUACGCGAUAUGUUUCCCUUUGAGGUUCAAAUCUACGACUGGACGAGCGAAAACAGCGAUUAUUGGAAUCUGGGUGAUAGCCCUGCUAUUUGAUAUUCCAGAUUUGAUAGCGUUACACACCUUUCCACCGACGCAUAUCAGAGUAAAAACUAUCCUGUUCACUCAAUGCGCCACAUCUUGGAGUCAAAGAAGUCAAAUCACCUUCACCAUCGUUAAGCUUAUCUUUCUGUACACUGGACCCUUAAUCUUCAUGAGCGUGGCGUACUGGCAGAUCGUUAGAGUCCUCUGGAGAAGCGACAUUCCAGGACACAAUUUACUGCCACGGGCAUCCCAGAUGAGCCGGACUCCUUCGUCCGGGGGCGGAAAUCCUGAGAUACAGCUAAGAUCCAGAAGGAAAGCAGCGAAAAUGUUAGUUACGGUGGUCAUCACUUUUGCCAUCUGCUAUUUCCCCGUGCAUUUACUCUCUAUCUUAAGAUAUACCAUUAUGUUGCCCUCGGACAAGUGGAUGAACAAUAUCUGUUUGGUCGCGCACGGCCUCUGUUACUUCAAUAGCGCGGUUAAUCCUCUGAUCUACAACUUCAUGAGCGGUAAGUUCCGGCAGGAGUUUCGUCGUACGUUCCAAGAAUGCGCACCUUCGAACCACUCAAACGGUCACAGGCCGAACCAACAACUCAGCUACGCUUACAUGGCAAGUGGAUACCGGUCUGCUCUGCAAAGUCGUCGUGAACAAUUCUGACACGCGGAGAUGCGAGUCUCGUGGGUGAAAAAAGCCCCUAAUACAGUCGCGGAAGGACCUCAGGCCGGAAACGAAUCUCCACAGGAUCAAUGUAGUCUUGGAUUAAACCCGCUACAAAAUUGAUUAAGCUUAGGGGAAAUUUCGAAAGGAAUUUAGACGUACUUUCCGUUGCGCUCAAGAAAGUAGUUCGCGCAUUCAACGUGGAUAUCUAGCGAGUACAUC
Molecule: unclassified non-coding RNA, 3145 nt
Filed under: Megachile rotundata (alfalfa leafcutting bee)
Lineage: Eukaryota; Metazoa; Arthropoda; Insecta; Hymenoptera; Megachilidae
Description: orexin receptor type 2-like, transcript variant X1
Source: RNAcentral